CCUGUGCACCUUUUGUAGACUUGGGGGGGUAUGUUUUACUAUACACCAUAAAAGUUUAGAAUGUUUGGGAUACUAUAUAAUAAUUAUAAUACAACUUUCAACAAUGGAUCUCUUGGCUCUCGCAUCGAUGAAGAACGCAGCGAAACGCGAUAAGUAAUGUGAAUUGCAGAAUUCAGUGAAUCAUCGAAUCUUUGAACGCACCUUGCGCUCCUUGGUAUUCCGAGGAGCAUGCCUGUUUGAGUGUCAUUAAAUUAAUCAAAUUUCUUUUUUUGAAAGAAAAAAGGAAUUUGGAUUUGGAGUGUUGCUGGCUUGUCAAAAGUCAGCUCCUCUUAAAUACAUUAUCGUGUACACUUUGUGGAUAGGCUUUGGUUUGAUAAAAUAUCUAUGCCAUUGCUGUGAAGCAAAAGUCAGCUACUAAUGAGUUAGUUAACCACUAUCAUUAUCACUCUUGACCUCAAAUCAGGUAGGACUACCCGCUGAACUUAAGCAUA
Molecule: ribosomal RNA, 491 nt
Filed under: Hygrophorus sp. 1 DL-2015
Lineage: Eukaryota; Fungi; Basidiomycota; Agaricomycetes; Agaricales; Hygrophoraceae
Description: eukaryotic LSU rRNA
Rfam family: 5.8S ribosomal RNA (bases 93-246)
Source: RNAcentral